AGUGAACGCUGGCGGUAGGCCUAACACAUGCAAGUCGAACGGCAGCACAGUAAGAGCUUGCUCUUACGGGUGGCGAGUGGCGGACGGGUGAGGAAUACAUCGGAAUCUACUUUUUCGUGGGGGAUAACGUAGGGAAACUUACGCUAAUACCUAAUACGACCUACGGGUGAAAGCAGGGGAUCUUCGUACCUUGCGCGAAUGAAUGAGCCGAUGUCGGAUUAGCUAGUUGGCGGGGUAAAGGCCCACCAAGGCGACGAUCCGUAGCUGGUCUGAGAGGAUGAUCAGCCACACUGGAACUGAGACACGGUCCAGACUCCUACGGGAGGCAGCAGUGGGGAAUAUUGGACAAAGGGCGCAAGCCUGAUCCAGCCAUACCGCGUGGGUGAAGAAGGCCUUCGGGUUGUAAAGCCCUUUUGUUGGGAAAGAAAAGCAGCAGGUUAAUACCCCGCUGUUCUGACGGUACCCAAAGAAUAAGCACCGGCUAACUUCGUG
This 492-nucleotide ribosomal RNA is filed under the name uncultured bacterium. RNAcentral describes it as "partial 16S ribosomal RNA". It matches the Rfam family "Bacterial small subunit ribosomal RNA", at positions 29 to 507 of the family's 1533-position model. The record is from RNAcentral.